Molecule: ribosomal RNA, 354 nt
Filed under: Triticum aestivum (bread wheat)
Lineage: Eukaryota; Viridiplantae; Streptophyta; Magnoliopsida; Poales; Poaceae
Description: partial small subunit ribosomal RNA
Source: RNAcentral
AUGAAGAUCAAGAGUGGAAAAGAGAUAGUGGAAGAAGUAAGGAAGAUUGAGAAGAACAUCAACGCCGGCAGCACUAUUUCUUCACAGCUAGAGCUGAGUAUUUUUGGGAUAUCCAUUGAGGUGUGUAAGUUUCCAACACCGUCACAUCCAGCUGAGCAAGAUAGGAAGAGUCUAGAGGAAGAGAUACCUCAAAUUGAAGAAGAUGAACUCAAAGACAAGGAACAAGAGGAUCCAGAGCUCGAAAGCCCAAGAAAUCAAGUUGAAGACUCAUCACCUAUUACUCUUGAAGAAGUAGAAGAAGCUGUUGUAGUUGAAGAUGAAGAACCAGAAAUUCAUUUGCUGAUUGUCAUAUAA